This 305-nucleotide long non-coding RNA is filed under the name Homo sapiens (human). RNAcentral describes it as "HSALNT0190055". The record is from RNAcentral. Lineage: Eukaryota; Metazoa; Chordata; Mammalia; Primates; Hominidae.
CAGAAGAGUUAGAUAGAGAAGCCUCCUUUAUGUGAGGAGAGGAAGGUUUCACCCAUCUGUCUGGGAAGAUGAUCCAAUUUUGGUGCUUUUAUCAUCAAUGCUUUCAGCAACUUUGUUCUACUUCCCCUACUGUAAUUACUUUUGAAUCAUCAACGCACCCAGACAGCCUUAAACCUCAGAGAACAGAAUGCUAAAAAAAGAAAAAAAAAACCCGCAAUGGCAAGGCAUGGAGAUGGGAUGUUGUGGAGAGGACGGAGUGGGGAGAAGAAGGAACUCCAAAAGGAGCCAAUUAAAACAUCUGCUUC